AACGAGGCCGACCUGCGGCUGAGUUACCUGCGGAGGGAUCAUUACAAGUGACCCCGGUCUAACCACCGGGAUGUUCAUAACCCUUUGUUGUCCGACUCUGUUGCCUCCGGGGCGACCCUGCCUUCGGGCGGGGGCUCCGGGUGGACACUUCAAACUCUUGCGUAACUUUGCAGUCUGAGUAAACUUAAUUAAUAAAUUAAAACUUUCAGCAACGGAUCU
RNAcentral lists this unclassified non-coding RNA (219 nucleotides) under soil metagenome. RNAcentral's name for it is "partial contains 5.8S ribosomal RNA, internal transcribed spacer 2, and large subunit ribosomal RNA". The record is from RNAcentral.